This 244-nucleotide ribosomal RNA is filed under the name uncultured bacterium. RNAcentral's name for it is "partial 16S ribosomal RNA". It matches the Rfam family "Bacterial small subunit ribosomal RNA", at positions 524 to 770 of the family's 1533-position model. The record is from RNAcentral.
UACAGAGGGGCAAGCGUUGUUCGGAAUUACUGGGCGUAAAGGGCGCGUAGGCGGCCUUCUAAGUCGAACGUGAAAUCCCCGGGCUCAACCCGGGAACUGCGUCCGAUACUGGCAGGCUUGAAUCCGGGAGAGGGAUGCGGAAUUCCAGGUGUAGCGGUGAAAUGCGUAGAUAUCUGGAGGAACACCGGUGGCGAAGGCGGCAUCCUGGACCGGUAUUGACGCUGAUGUGCGAAGCGUGGGAGCA